CAGAUCAACAACAAAAACCAACGUGCCAGGAAGAGAAACGCAAAGAAGCAUACAAUCGUGCAAGAAACCUUACUAACAUGAAACUUUUUGGAUUCUGGCUUCCGUCCAAAGUCCCGUGUGAGGUUUAGUAGUUAACCAACCACACUGUGUCCUGCCAGGACUUGUUGGUCCUGGUCCUCGGGCCAUGGGGCGCGGUAAGGACCAUAAUGACAUUAAAUAGAUCCGCUAAGAGGCUUAGGCAGGUUCAACAUAACGAGCUGUGGGCAUGCAGCUGCUUGUAGGAGUGGAUACACUGUAAGCCUGCGGUCUUCAAGCUCAUGAAGGCAACGUUCAAACUGCUGCAAGUCAGCUGACCAGGAACAGCUUUUUAAAAUACUGUCAGAAAGAAAGCGGAGGUAUGGUUGUAUGAACAAAGGCACUCGCUUUCUGGUAAUUGAGCAACACAGGAAGUGAUCACUGAUCAGUGGGGAGUGACACGCUAACAGCCAAUCAGGCUUCCCAAGUCCUCAAAAACCAAGAAAAGAGGUGAGAAAUCCACAAGACGGACACGCAGAACCCCUCUCCCGAAACCUAGUCAAUGUCGGAGGCCUCGUUGUCCGAGGGGAAGUAAUUGCUGCCUUUUACCCGGGUGUACUGGAUGUUCUGGUUCUUGAAGUUUAAGCCGUCCCCGCAGGAGCACAGCGGGCCCAUGAACAGGUUCUCGAUGUCCUCCAGCUGCAGGCCCUUCGUCUCCGGCAGGCAGCACAGGAUGAAGAGGAAGCCCAGCACCGUGAAGCCCGUGUACAGGAAGAAGAUGCCUGCGGAGGGAAGGUCAAAA
Molecule: long non-coding RNA, 817 nt
Organism: Nerophis lumbriciformis (worm pipefish)
Lineage: Eukaryota; Metazoa; Chordata; Actinopteri; Syngnathiformes; Syngnathidae
Source: RefSeq, a predicted model, not a curated record